This 492-nucleotide ribosomal RNA is filed under the name uncultured bacterium. RNAcentral describes it as "partial 16S ribosomal RNA". It matches the Rfam family "Bacterial small subunit ribosomal RNA", at positions 29 to 507 of the family's 1533-position model. The record is from RNAcentral.
AGUGAACGCUGGCGGUAGGCCUAACACAUGCAAGUCGAACGGCAGCACAGUAAGAGCUUGCUCUUACGGGUGGCGAGUGGCGGACGGGUGAGGAAUACAUCGGAAUCUACUUUUUCGUGGGGGAUAACGUAGGGAAACUUACGCUAAUACCGCAUACGACCUACGGGUGAAAGCAGGGGAUCUUCGGACCUUGCGCGAUUGAAUGAGCCGAUGUCGGAUUAGCUAGUUGGCGGGGUAAAGGCCCACCAAGGCGACGAUCCGUAGCUGGUCUGAGAGGAUGAUCAGCCACACUGGAACUGAGACACGGUCCAGACUCCUACGGGAGGCAGCAGUGGGGAAUAUUGGACAAUGGGCGCAAGCCUGACCCAGCCAUACCGCGUGGGUGAAGAAGGCCUUCGGGUUGUAAAGCCCUUUUGUUGGGAAAGAAAAGAAGCAGGUUAAUACCCCGCUGUUCUGACGGUACCCAAAGAAUAAGCACCGGCUAACUUCGUG